RNAcentral lists this ribosomal RNA (314 nucleotides) under uncultured bacterium. RNAcentral's name for it is "partial 16S ribosomal RNA". It matches the Rfam family "Bacterial small subunit ribosomal RNA", at positions 499 to 807 of the family's 1533-position model. The record is from RNAcentral.
UUAUAAGAGACAGCAGUAGCCACGGGAAAACGGAGGGUGCAAGCGUUAAUCGGAAUUACUGGGCGUAAAGCGCACGCAGGCGGUCUGACAAGUCAGAUGUGAAAUCCCCGGGCUUAACCUGGGAACUGCAUUUGAAACUGUCAGGCUGGAGUCUUGUAGAGGGGGGUGGAAUUCCAGGUGUAGCGGUGAAAUGCGUAGAGAUCUGGAGGAAUACCGGUGGCGAAGGCGGCCCCCUGGACAAAGACUGACGCUCAGGUGCGAAAGCGUGGGGAGCAAACAGGAUUAGAUACCCCAGUAGUCCCUGUCUCUUAUAC